UGUAAUUUAAAAAAUUUAAUUUAAAUUUAUUUUACAUAUAAAUUUUAGUGUUAAUUUUUAAUUAUUUUAAUAAUUUUUUAAAAAUGAUUGGUAGUAAUUAAAAUUAUAAAUUUAAGAAAUUAAGAUUUAGUAAUAUUUAUAUUUAUUAACAAAUUUUGUGCCAGCAGUUGCGGUUAUACAAAUAAUAAUUUAAAUUUUAUUAGUAAAUAAUUAGUAUAAUAAGAAAAAAAUUAAAUAUUAAUUUAUUAGGUAAAAUUUUAAUUUAAUAAAAAUUUUAAUUAAUUAUAUGAUUUAUUAAAUUUUGAAAAAAACUAGGAUUAGAUACCCUAUUAUUAAAAAUUAAAUUAAUAAUACUAAAUUAGUAUAUAAUAAUUUAUAAAAACUUAAAUAAUUUGGCGGUAUUUUAGUUCAUUUAGAGGAAUCUGUUUAAUAAUUGAUAAUCCACGAAUAAAUUUACUUAAUUUAUAAAUUUUGUAUAUCGUUGUUAAAAAAAUAUUUUUUAAUAAAAAUAAUAUUUUAAAAUUAUAAAUAUAAUUUAGUUCAGAUCAAGAUGCAGAUUAUAAUUAAGAAUAUAAUGGAUUACAAUAUAUAAUAAAUAAAUGGAUAUUAUUGUUUAAUAAAUAUUUGAAAAUGGAUUUAAAUGUAAUUUUAUUUAAUUUAUUAAAAUGAUUAUAAAUUAAAAUAUGUACAUAUUGCCCGUCGCUUUCAUAUAUAAAUUGAAAUAAGUCGUAACAAAGUAGAAGUACUGGAAAGUGUUUCUAGAAAG
Molecule: non-coding RNA, 766 nt
Filed under: Teinopalpus aureus (golden kaiserihind)
Lineage: Eukaryota; Metazoa; Arthropoda; Insecta; Lepidoptera; Papilionidae
Source: RNAcentral